GACAGAGGGGGCAAGCGUUGCUCGGAAUCACUGGGCGUAAAGGGCGCGUAGGCGGGAUGGCAAGUCAGUCGUGAAAUCUCUCGGCUCAACCGAGAAACGUCGGCUGAUACUGCCGUUCUUGAGGGAUGCAGAGGAGACUGGAAUUCCCGGUGUAGCGGUGAAAUGUGUAGAGAUCGGGAGGAACACCGGUGGCGAAGGCAGCCCCCUGGGUCAAGAUUGACGCUCAUGCACGAAAGCGUGGGGAGCAAACAGG
RNAcentral lists this ribosomal RNA (253 nucleotides) under uncultured bacterium. Its description in RNAcentral is "partial 16S ribosomal RNA". It matches the Rfam family "Bacterial small subunit ribosomal RNA", at positions 524 to 776 of the family's 1533-position model. The record is from RNAcentral.